CAAUGAAGAAAGUAUGGUAAUGUACACAUAAAUUGAAUUGGGUCUCUAGUCUUGCCCUCUAUGAUGCCAUUUGGUUUUGAUUUGGGGGCAUGGUUCCGCAGCAAAACA
Small nucleolar RNA from Rhododendron vialii, 108 nucleotides. RefSeq annotates it as small nucleolar RNA snoR100. NCBI's taxonomy places the organism in Eukaryota, Viridiplantae, Streptophyta, Magnoliopsida, Ericales, Ericaceae. The record is from RefSeq and is a predicted model, not a curated record. The transcript has a single exon.